Molecule: long non-coding RNA, 227 nt
Organism: Zea mays
Lineage: Eukaryota; Viridiplantae; Streptophyta; Magnoliopsida; Poales; Poaceae
Exons: 4
Source: RefSeq, a predicted model, not a curated record
AAUCAAAGAGAAGGCACAUCCUGGAGGUUUUCUUUUCACGAAGUUUGCCAGUAGUAGCCAGACUCUUUUUGACCUUUUCCCGGAUAGCUUUGGUGGCAGGUUGCAUGAAAGAAGCAAAGAAAGUCCGAAAACAAUGAAACAUCUAAAUAAACUUUUCCCAAACAAAAUUUUGAUCUAGCUUCCACAGGAUGAAGCCCUACUUACAGAUUGGAAGCAGCAGUUGGAAG